GGAAAAGCGGGAUGUCACAAAGGUCCCACUGUGACCCUCAGGAACCACCGCCGUGCCAACAGAAUUUGUGGGAAUCGGCGUCCAUCCCGCAGUGUCCGGCAGAGAUCCCGCUACGUUUUUCCUCCUCCUCAUCAUCCUUCAUUCCAGGAAAUGGAGAAAAGACCUCCGAGACAGCCCAAGGUGGCUUUCGAGGAGGUGGUGGUGGUGGCUCCUGAGGAGAGCAGCUCCUCCGAGGAGCCCACCACGGUGACCGUGGUGGAGCAGCUGCAGCUCCGUGAGUGGUGGGAGCGGGCAGCAAAGGGGACGCAGCUCCCGCUCCUUCCUCCGGCAUUCCCUCCUUCCUCUCCCGUCUUUGCCAGAUUCCAGAUGGGUUCCUGAUUACGCGGAAAACACCGUGGACUUCAUCCAGGCCUUCGCCAGCAGCCCCAGCAAGUUCCAGGAGAAGGAGCAGAAGAUGGAGUUCCUCCACAGCAUCUGCACCCUGUGCAGAGAUUCCAAGCUCCACGACUUCUCCGAGGAGCUGAAGGAUUUCUGCGGCAGGUUCAAGCUGGCAGAGACGGUUCAGCUGCUGCUGAAUUUGGAGCCCAGACACGAGAUCUGCGACGGGGUGCAGCGGCUCGCCAUGCUGGCCUUGGCCGAACUCAGCACCAUCGGGAUAACGCUGGAGACCAGAAAAGUUUUAAGGCUCUGCUUCAACAGCGUCUUCUUCCUUCGUCCGCUCGGGGAAAUGUCGCCCGUGGAAGCGACGCUCUGUACUCAGACCCUGCGCUCCGUGGACACCAUGCUGGAGGUGAUGGUGCUCAGCUGUGCUGCCCCCAGAAUCAGCGGGAUGCUGCAGGACAUGCUGGAGAUUCUCCUGGAGUACCUCUUCUCUGACUUCACGGUGACGCAGGAGAGGGUCCUGGGCAGGAUUAGGGCGCUGAGCCAUUUGCUGGCCAAAUUUUCCACCGAGAAGGUAAAGCCACCCUCCAGCCAGGCCGUGCCUGCUACACCCCCAGCCCCAAAAAUGCCUUCAGACCCCACCCGAGCCCUCCUCCUCUUCCUCCUGCCUCCCCCUCAGGGCGAUGAAGAGGAGAACGACGGCGCUGCCAGCGGGCAGAUCCAGAUCCCAGUGCUGGGGAAGCUGCUGGGCCAUCUGUUCUUCAGGUUGUACAGGCCGGAAAACAGAAUCACAGCGCUGGUGGAUAUUCUGUGCUGCCUCAUGACGUUCAUCUCUGCGCAGAAAUGUAGGAGAAACCGUCCCACAUCAUCGCAUAAAUCUGCUU
This 1265-nucleotide long non-coding RNA is filed under the name Chloebia gouldiae (Gouldian finch). RNAcentral's name for it is "Erythrura gouldiae (Gouldian finch) lncRNA (ENSEGOG00005018865.1)". Lineage: Eukaryota; Metazoa; Chordata; Aves; Passeriformes; Passeridae. The record is from RNAcentral.